CUAUAGCCUCCACUCUCAAGCUAGUCUACACUAAGUCUCUAACAAUUCAUCAAAAUUACCACUAAAGUGUUCCUACAGGUUUGUGGCUUCAGCAUUUUCUGUUCCAGAUAUUCCCAGGAGUGUUGGAAGGAGAAUGUGCCAGCUAAAAAUAUCCCAUGAAUCUGAGGGAGAAAUUCAUAAAACUGUAUGGAUCAUGA
Molecule: long non-coding RNA, 197 nt
Organism: Prionailurus viverrinus (fishing cat)
Lineage: Eukaryota; Metazoa; Chordata; Mammalia; Carnivora; Felidae
Exons: 2
Source: RefSeq, a predicted model, not a curated record